This is a long non-coding RNA of Mastomys coucha (southern multimammate mouse), 790 nucleotides long. RefSeq lists it as uncharacterized. The record is from RefSeq and is a predicted model, not a curated record. The transcript is spliced from 3 exons. Lineage: Eukaryota; Metazoa; Chordata; Mammalia; Rodentia; Muridae.
CUCCUAGAAGUGAAGCUCUCAUCACUCUUCCUUGGAAUGUGGCUCUCUACCAGAGCUUUGAAAAGACAUUGACAGGACAGAUGGCCACAGCGUGAAUACAACAGCAAUUUAUAGUCCAGGUCCUAAUGAACUGUAAAGGCUGACACAAGACUAUACAGAUGGAAAUCAAGAAGAAAACAAAACACAUCCUGGACAGUGUUAUGACAACUUGGAAGAGCCAGUGCUCAGGUGAUGCCUACUCCAGGAAACGUCUGACUGACCCAUGAAAAAGUGAAGCAGGCAGAACAACAAAACCACCUCAAAAAAGGAACCAAUCAACUACCAACACCACCAACAAAAACAAAGAAGAGAGCAAAGGCAUGAAGGAUGGAGAGAGGAAAUGGAGGGAAAAGAAACACAGCCAAUACUCAACAUCUGCUGUCACUGUGUGAAAACUAUACUUGCCUUGACACUUGCCUAUGAUCAGGUAAUUUUCAGCUCACUGCAGUGUAAACACGAUGAGAUGGAAGCACAAAGCUUACAGGAAAGCCACUUGACUUCAUGUGAAAAUGGCUUCAUUCUAACACACUUAUGAUCCCCGACCAAUUGAAGAUGACUCAGAAAAAUCUAAUAUAUUUUAAAAAUGGUAGUGGAAUAUGUUUUCAUAGGAUAAACAUGGUUUGUCUGAAAUGCAGUAAACAGUUUAGGAGAUGGACAUGUAACUCAUUUAAGACAUGGAUACACUCUUACUUUGUAAGGAAAGGACAACCAUCUGGCCAGCAACAGUAGGACAAUAGAUAAAGAUGGAGGG